ACGAACGCUGGCGGCGUGCUUAACACAUGCCGGUCGAACGGAAAGGCCCCUUUGGGGGUACUCGAGUGGCGAACGGGUGAGUAACACGUGAGUAACCUGCCCUUGACUUCGGGAUAACUUCAGGAAACUGGGGCUAAUACCGGAUAGGAAUCCUUGCUGCAUGGUGGGGGUUGGAAAGCUUCGGCGGUUUUGGAUGGACUCGCGGCUUAUCAGCUUGUUGGUGGGGUAGUGGCUUACCAAGGCUUUGACGGGUAGCCGGCCUGAGAGGGCGACCGGCCACAUUGGGACUGAGAUACGGCCCAGACUCCUACGGGAGGCAGCAGUGGGGAAUAUUGCACAAUGGGCGGAAGCCUGAUGCAGCAACGCCGCGUGCGGGAUGACGGCCUUCGGGUUGUAAACCGCUUUCAGCAGGGGCGAAGCUUGUGGUGACGGUACCUGCAGAAGAAGCACCGGCUAACUACGUG
RNAcentral lists this ribosomal RNA (464 nucleotides) under uncultured bacterium. RNAcentral describes it as "partial 16S ribosomal RNA". It matches the Rfam family "Bacterial small subunit ribosomal RNA", at positions 29 to 507 of the family's 1533-position model. The record is from RNAcentral.